Molecule: transfer RNA, 70 nt
Filed under: Haliotis diversicolor
Lineage: Eukaryota; Metazoa; Mollusca; Gastropoda; Lepetellida; Haliotidae
Also listed under: 1 other name
Description: tRNA-Cys
Rfam family: tRNA
About the family: Transfer RNA (tRNA) molecules are approximately 80 nucleotides in length. Their secondary structure includes four short double-helical elements and three loops (D, anti-codon, and T loops).
Source: RNAcentral
GGUUUUGUGGUUGAAGUGACAACGUCAAAUUGCAAGUUUGAAGGUGUGCGUUAGAGUUGCUCCAGAACUU